UACGUAGGGACCGAGCGUUGUCCGGAUUCAUUGGGCGUAAAGAGCUCGUAGGCGGCUGUUCAAGUCGAACGUGAAAACUCGGAGCUCAACUCCGAGCCUGCGUUCGAUACUGGACGGCUAGAGUCUGGUAGGGGGAUCUGGAAUUCCUGGUGUAGCGGUGGAAUGCGCAGAUAUCAGGAGGAACACCGAUGGCGAAGGCAGGUCACUGGGCCGCAACUGACGCUGAGGAGCGAAAGCAUGGGGAGCGAACAGG
This 253-nucleotide ribosomal RNA is filed under the name uncultured bacterium. RNAcentral describes it as "partial 16S ribosomal RNA". It matches the Rfam family "Bacterial small subunit ribosomal RNA", at positions 524 to 776 of the family's 1533-position model. The record is from RNAcentral.